Molecule: ribosomal RNA, 408 nt
Filed under: uncultured bacterium
Lineage: Bacteria
Description: partial 16S ribosomal RNA
Rfam family: Bacterial small subunit ribosomal RNA
Source: RNAcentral
GACGAAAGCUGACGGCGUGCUUCACACAUGCAAGUCGAAGGGCGUGGCGAACGGGUGAGUAACACGUGAGUAACCUGCCCUGUUCUUUGGGAUAAGCCUGGGAAACUGGGUCUAAUACUGGAUGGAUUGGGAGUGGCUCGCGGCUUAUCAGCUUGUUGGUGGGGUGAUGGCUUACCAAGGCUUUGACGGGUAGCCGGCCUGAGAGGGUGGUCUGUCAGUCUGGGCAUGAGAUACGGCACAGACGCCUACGGGAGGGAGCAGUGGGGGAUAUUGCACAAUGGACGAAAGUCUGAUGCAGCGACGUCGUGUGGGGGAUGAAGGCCUUCGGGGUGUAAACUCCUUUCGCCCGCGGAAUGGUAGUGGGUAAAGAAGCGCCGGCUAACUACGUGCCAGCAGCCGCGGUAAUAC